CACACACACACACAGAUACACACACACACACACACAGAUACACACACACACACACACACACACACACACAGACACACACACACACACACACACACACGUUCAUGUAAGAAGCUAUAACUUCAGGGCAGGUGCUGAUGCUAGGGGCUAUACAAUAAUGUGAUCUUUCAAAAGUGACUUAUCAUCAUCCCUGAAAGGAGAAGACUGGGCAUUUUUACACAUUUCUGCUUACAUUUAAGCAUUUGUACGCAAGGUGCAGGCAUUAGUCAGGGUCCUUCCCUGGUUCUGUGGUACUUCAGAUGCCAAGAGUGAGCAGCUGAGGUCUUGGUCAUCAGGGCCUGCUGCUCUUUCUGUUACAUUAUUCUUCACAGAGUGAACAUAUAUGAACACAUGAACAAUGUACUUUAAUGCCAAUCUCCUGUUCAUGAAAUAUUGAUUUGUAAAGAGCUGUAAGUAGUAAUUAGCUUUUUUUUUACUGUGGCAAAGAAUCCAUCUAGUUAAUAACAUCCAACUUCUGUACAUUCAUACGAAAUACAUUUUUAGUUACUCUAAUAUUUCUUUUGUCUGUUUAUUACUUGAACUCAGUUCCCAAGAGAAUCAUUUUCUGCAUCCAGGUCUAUAUGGGCAUUAUCUGUUUAGAUUCUCUAAGCUCACUUACUGAGAGCUAAUGAGAACAAAGUCUCAGCUCAGAUACUCAAGGGAGUAUCAGGCCAUGGACCACAUAUUUGCUAUCUCAGCUCUUAGUUUCAACAGGCCUGAGGCAUUGGCUUGACAAAAAUUCAUGCUGUUAAACAUAUAUCUUAUAUAAAUAUCUAAUCUGAUUCAUUUAUUUAAUCACAGCAAAAGAAUCAGGUGAAUAAUUUUAUUGUGUGAACCAUGAACACAAGUUUUCAUAUGUUUCCUAUUAAUCUUGUCAGAGAACUUCUCAUAUCUGUAAUGCUUUAUCAGAUUCUGUAACUUGGAAGUUGGCAAAAUAAAAGAAAUAAGUUGAAAAAUAGCAGCAGAUUAAAAAAAAACCACAUGUAUUUGAGAAUCUAAAGCUAAGCAUUAAACAUUCAAAAUAAUUCACAGCAGAGUAGGAACAGAGCUGUAGCUACAUGAAACAGGAUGCAAGAAGAUGAGGUUGUAGUCAUUGGUUGGAGACUUAGCAACCAUCCAGAUGCUUGACAAUGAAAACCAAUUCGUUCCUUGCCAAAGGGGGAACUUAAUUAAUGAGGACAAGGAUGAAUUUAUUUUAGUUAUUUAAAAUAGAAGCUUUUAAGUACAGAGAGCAAAGACUAAUUUAAAUUUCAGUGCUCUUAAUGUAUAGUAUCUGGGCAGGUCUGUUGAGGAUGGGUGAGCUUUUUGCUAUCUUUAGUUUCAUUUUUGUAGGGGUAUUAAUGGAUGGGAAGGGGUUUUGGCAGGUGACGUUUGAAUAGCAGCAGGUAAUGUGGUUCACAGGUUUCACAUUCACAUCUGAUCCCAGACCAUUCAGUCCAGUGAUCAUUCUAGAGCCUCCAUCAUCCUGGUUUGUCUCACUCCCUCACCUAAGUGAUGGAGGACAGUGGUAGCAAAGAAAGAGAAAUAACAUGGGUAACCAAAUUAAGCAUUGAAGAUAGGCUCUACACUUUAAUAUUCAGAGGUGAGGGGCAGCCAAACACUUUCCACCACACGCAGUAUAUUUGAGGGAAUAUAAGUUUUACACUGUCCGCUCUUUCUUGCCUGUUCUCUGUCACCAAACAGCAGCAAGAUUGAAGGUAAAUUAUAGAAACAUUUUGAACACUGGGGACCCCCGCUAUUAAAAGAAUUAGCUAUGCAGGGUGCUAUGUACUGGCAAACCCAGGACACUGAGGCAGGAGGAUCACAUGAUAAUAAAAUUAAAGAAAGCCUAGAUUAUUCUGUAAGAGCCUGUCUCAUAAAAAGGGAAAGAAAAUAUGAAAAUAGUGGAAAAGCAAGAGUGGAGAUAAGAUAGGAAAACAGAAAGAGGAAGGGGAAGAGGAGGAAAAGCAGGAGGAAAAAUUUUAAAAAAUCCUCAUCUUUACUGAGGUGAUACUGAUUUAUGAUAUCUGCCCAUAUUUAAAUUAAUAAUAUGAAUAAAGGCUGAGUGGUUUUCAUAGUUAUGCUGACAGACACACUCAUCAUCUCACAUCCAUACCAUGGAAUGUGUGGUGAUGAUGCUUAACAUACAAUCUCAGUGAUUUUUAUUUCAGUCCACUAUUAGUAUCUGUAGACAUUGUGCUGUAUGUUGUGUCCCUAGCACUUCUGAUCUUAUAAUGGAAACUUUGAAAUAGUUGAUCGCUUCAUUUCAUUUCCCUCAAUUUCAUAUCCUUGGUCACUCUACUUUCCUGUCUGAGGAUAGAAUUAGAUUAACAAAAAAAAUGAACAAAACAAGC
This 2369-nucleotide long non-coding RNA is filed under the name Mus musculus (house mouse). RNAcentral's name for it is "long non-coding RNA chr8:65651842-65654211". Lineage: Eukaryota; Metazoa; Chordata; Mammalia; Rodentia; Muridae. The record is from RNAcentral.